GGUGCUGCAUGGCUGUCGUCAGCUCGUGUUGUGAAAUGUUGGGUUAAGUCCCGCAACGAGCGCAACCCUUAUCCUUUGUUGCCAGCGAUUCGGUCGGGAACUCAAAGGAGACUGCCAGUGAUAAACUGGAGGAAGGUGGGGAUGACGUCAAGUCAUCAUGGCCCUUACGAGUAGGGCUACACACGUGCUACAAUGGCAUAUACAAAGAGAAGCGACCUCGCGAGAGCAAGCGGACCUCAUAAAGUAUGUCGUAGUCCGGAUUGGAGUCUGCAACUCGACUCCAUGAAGUCGGAAUCGCUAGUAAUCGUGGAUCAGAAUGCCACGGUGAAUACGUUCC
This 337-nucleotide ribosomal RNA is filed under the name Enterococcus faecalis PF3. RNAcentral describes it as "bacterial SSU rRNA". It matches the Rfam family "Bacterial small subunit ribosomal RNA", at positions 1037 to 1374 of the family's 1533-position model. Lineage: Bacteria; Bacillati; Bacillota; Bacilli; Lactobacillales; Enterococcaceae. The record is from RNAcentral.